AGAACGAACGCUGGCGGCAGGCCUAACACAUGCAAGUCGAACGCUCUCGCAAGAGAGAGUGGCGCACGGGUGCGUAACGCGUGGGAAUCUACCCUUGACUACGGAACAACGUCGGGAAACUGACGCUAAUACCGUAUAAUGACUCCGGUCCAAAGAUUUAUCGGUCAGGGAUGAGCCCGCGUUAGAUUAGCUAGUUGGUGAGGUAAUGGCUCACCAAGGCUACGAUCUAUAGCUGGUCUGAGAGGAUGAUCAGCCACACUGGGACUGAGACACGGCCCAGACUCCUACGGGAGGCAGCAGUGAGGAAUAUUGGACAAUGGGGGCAACCCUGAUCCAGCCAUGCCGCGUGAGUGAUGAAGGCCUUCGGGUUGUAAAACUCUUUUAGAUGUGAAGAUGAUGACGGUAACAUACAGAAAAGCUCCGGACUAACUCGUGCCAGCAGCCGC
RNAcentral lists this ribosomal RNA (446 nucleotides) under uncultured bacterium. RNAcentral's name for it is "SSU rRNA". It matches the Rfam family "Bacterial small subunit ribosomal RNA", at positions 26 to 518 of the family's 1533-position model. The record is from RNAcentral.